GUGGGGAAUUUUGCGCAAUGGGCGAAAGCCUGACGCAGCAACGCCGCGUGAGUGAUGAAGGCUUUCGGGUCGUAAAGCUCUGUCAAUGGGAAAGAAGUGUAUUUUGGCUAAUAUCCUUAAUACUUGACGGUACCCAUAAAGGAAGCACCGGCUAACUCCGUGCCAGCAGCCGCGGUAAUACGGGGGGUGCAAGCGUUGUUCGGAAUUAUUGGGCGUAAAGCGCGUGUAGGCGGUCUGAUUAGUCUGAUGUGAAAGCCCUGGGCUCAACCCAGGAAGUGCAUUGGAUACUGUCAGACUUGAAUACGGGAGAGGGUAGUGGAAUUCCUAGUGUAGGAGUGAAAUCCGUAGAUAUUAGGAGGAACACCGGUGGCGAAGGCGGCUACCUGGACCGAUAUUGACGCUGAGACGCGAAAGCGUGGGUAGCAAACAGGAUUAGAUACCCCUGUAGUCC
RNAcentral lists this ribosomal RNA (451 nucleotides) under uncultured bacterium. RNAcentral's name for it is "bacterial SSU rRNA". It matches the Rfam family "Bacterial small subunit ribosomal RNA", at positions 354 to 796 of the family's 1533-position model. The record is from RNAcentral.